This 805-nucleotide long non-coding RNA is filed under the name Marmota monax (woodchuck). The record is from RNAcentral. Lineage: Eukaryota; Metazoa; Chordata; Mammalia; Rodentia; Sciuridae.
GUCACCCUCACUGGGGAUCAGAUGCUUCCAGAAGGUUUUUUACUCAAUUUUCUGCCACAUUCCUCUGAAGUAGUAAUUGUCUCCAUAACCAAAGAGGUAGAAAUUGUCCCCGUAACCACUGAGGCCAAGAGAGAUAACCGUCCAAACAAAGAUUGUGUUCUUUUCUCCACCCAGACUGACGUGUGUGUGUGUGUGUGUGUGUGUGUGUGUGUGUUAGUUACUAGGUAUUUAACACAGAUGUGCUCUACCUCUGAGCUACAUCUCCAGCCCAGUUUUUUACUUUCUUUUGAGACAGGGUCUGGUCUUCACUACAAUCCUAAGAGUACAGGCAUGUGCCACCACACCUAGCAGCCUGGCUCUUUUGAAGCAAAGGUAUAAAGUUGAGGCAGGCAGGAGGAGAUGGCAGAGUACACCUUAAGGAAAUCACCUUCAGAGGUGAUAAUUUGAAUUGACCUCAAAGCAAACAAACUCUAGACUUCCUGUUCAUAGGAAGACUCACUAAAACUCACAGCAGGGCCCUAAGCUAUGUCACUUUAGUCAUGUAUUUCUGUAACUUUGCGAAAGUAAUCAACUUAGGGAUACAUGUAUUUUGGAUUUGGUGAAAAAAUGUUUGCAUGGAUUCCAUCACUUGCAUUAUAGUUAAGUUACUAUCUGCUGUCCUGGUGUGGGAAAGGCUUCCUGGAAGAGCCUUUCACUGGAUGUCCGGACAGCCAUGUACUGGCCAUAUUCUUCAUAUGACUAUGUGCUAUGAAGUCUGACACAAAAAGCAUCAGCAAAGUGAAAGAGAAACAGGUUUAAAAUGUAC